UGGGGAAUAUUGCACAAUGGGCGCAAGCCUGAUGCAGCCAUGCCGCGUGUAUGAAGAAGGCCUUCGGGUUGUAAAGUACUUUCAGCGGGGAGGAAGGGAGUAAAGUUAAUACCUUUGCUCAUUGACGUUACCCGCAGAAGAAGCACCGGCUAACUCCGUGCCAGCAGCCGCAGUAAUACGGAGGGUGCAAGCGUUAAUCGGAAUUACUGGGCGUAAAGCGCACGCAGGCGGUUUGUUAAGUCAGAUGUGAAAUCCCCGGGCUCAACCUGGGAACUGCAUCUGAUACUGGCAAGCUUGAGUCUCGUAGAGGGGGGUAGAAUUCCAGGUGUAGCGGUGAAAUGCGUAGAGAUCUGGAGGAAUACCGGUGGCGAAGGCGGCCCCCUGGACGAAGACUGACGCUCAGGUGCGAAAGCGUGGGGAGCAAACA
RNAcentral lists this ribosomal RNA (427 nucleotides) under uncultured bacterium. RNAcentral's name for it is "partial 16S ribosomal RNA". It matches the Rfam family "Bacterial small subunit ribosomal RNA", at positions 355 to 774 of the family's 1533-position model. The record is from RNAcentral.